Long non-coding RNA from Siniperca chuatsi (mandarin fish), 2585 nucleotides. RefSeq lists it as uncharacterized. The transcript has 3 exons. The record is from RefSeq and is a predicted model, not a curated record. Lineage: Eukaryota; Metazoa; Chordata; Actinopteri; Centrarchiformes; Sinipercidae.
CUAAGAGGCACAUACUUUGUCUUUAAUUUUCCUCCAGGGAAGCUGGCCAACCAUGAAUUCAACCAGCAUGUAGAAGAGGGACCAGAGGUCAUCAUGACGGCCCAUUUCCUACAGAUUAAGAUACACAAGUGGGGAAAGCAUCACUCACCCUGAAGCUUUUUCAGCACAGCCACCUCCAUCUUCAGCACCUGUUUGGGUUGUUGAGCAGACUCCACCUUUAAGGCAACAGUGGCCUGGCUCAACUGAUCCAAAACCUCAUAGAUCUCCCCAAACCCACCUCCACCUAUCUUCCUCACCUAAAAAGAAGCGACACUUACCACUUUCCAUCUGUCUCUGACCACGUCUGCCACUGACAGGAUGUCUGUGUGCUCUCCAGCCCCACUCAUCCUGAGUGCUCUCAGCUACAGCCUGCACCUGGCAUCAGUGACGCACGCCCCUCACUGAAAACAGGGGAACAGAUUUUAAAAUCAAUUUCCUCUUUGAUAAUCACUGCAUGCUACUGAGCAGCGACGGAAAAGAGGAACCAUUAGUUGAUACUGGUUAACGUUACAUGUUGUUGUGCCUGACAGAGAAAUGCGGAGAAUACCAUUUAAACGGCUACAAAGGUUAGCUACACCUCACGUCUUCAAGAUUCACGUAAGACGCUAACCACUGCUAGAUGGUAAUGGAAAGAUAGCAGCUAGCAUUGUCUGGUUUGUUGACUCUGUGCCAAAACACAACAAUCGACUAGCGCAACGGCAGUCGCUGGUCUUAAAUGGCCAUAAACCUGUAGUUUGAGAUGAUUAGCCGUUAGGAAGCUAAUCUAGCAAAGUACGGUUUUCAAUGCGGCGGCUCCGGUGGUCCUGUAAACAAGCUAACUAGCAUGUUUACUAAAGAUAACCGUUAGGGAGCAAACCUCUCCGAUCUCUUACCUCGCUUCGUUGCACCAUUGCGAUCCCAGUUAGUGUGUAAAAUCCAAACAGUCCCCAUGCUUCCAAUCUGUUGUUAGUUAGCCAGGUCAUUCCCAGAAGGUGUUUAUUUUACAAAUGAGAUCAUGGUGAUGGACCAUAGCUGACGUUAGCUGACGUUAGCUACAGUUAGCCAGCUAGCCUGCUAAUGAAUGGGCAGUGAUGCCCCCGCGCUCUCUCAUAGCAGCGGCGGUGACGUCACAGCGCCAGUCUCUCCUGAUUGAUCCGCAAACUCCCGCAUCCCUGAGCCACUGUGGAGCAGCACUGCACAUAACACGAUGCACAGAGUGAGAGGCCCUGACAGCGGACAAGGGAAGGAACACUGCAUCACCAGCAUUGAUAGGUCACCAUUCAAACUGAUAAGUUAUGAUCACGAUUGUCGAAAAAUAAAGCAGGAACAUCAGAGUAGGAGAGGUUUAUCAGGGAAUUCAGGUGCCCCUGACAAUACAUUGAUAACCCUUCACCCCCCUCCACCCCCUUUCACUACCACCAUCCAACAGUGGUGGAAGAAGUACUCCGAUCUUUUAUUUAAAGAGCAACCAAUGAAUCAUUUGCCUCAUUUCCACUGCAUGGUACUGGACUCGCUUAGAACCUUUCUUUGGCUUUCCAUUGGCAAAAGUUGUGGAUUGUAUCUGGUACCUUGUACUUUUUUGGUGUGACCUUGGUCAAACUGAGCCUAAAAGGUGGAGUUAAAACACUGCAGACCACUGAUUGGUCAGAGAGAAUCGUCACACGGGACAUCGUGCACAAACCCGCCAUUUUUAAAUUUUCAAAAGUAUAUAUACAUAUAUAGUAUACUUUAUAUACACUACAGUAACAUCUGAAGUUGUUUCUGUAAGAGAGUUUUAUGUCCGCCUCAAAAUAGACGAAUUGGACGUGACGUCACAUAAGGGGGAGCGGCCAAGUUAGGUCAAGUUUAACAUUAAUACAUAUGGAUCCCAAUUUUGACACUGAAGAGGUUGUAAAUGUAUAUUCAUACGCAUAUGACGGACCACAGCCUUACUGUUUAAUUAGGAGCCUGCUAGGCGUCCAAGAGACCAGGAACAGACAAGGAUUAGAAGAAAUAACAGCCAUUGGCGAGAAAUUGAGUUGUGCAAACCAGUGGAGUACUGGGCAGGUGUCUUGGCGACCAUGACGAAAAAUGGUGAAAUGCAAUGUAAAACUACCAAAAUCAGACUCACUACCACCAACCACUGCACGUUGAACGGAGUGUGUGGUCAGGGAAACUGACUCCCUUAUAAGAGCAUUGCUCAAAACGGCUACUUUUUCUUCUGAAUUUCCGUCCUUAUGUCUUGGAAAACAUAUUAAAUCCUACAUUAACUUUCCAAAUGAUCAUUUCCAGGAAAACAUUAUGUAUACAUUUUGUAAAAAAUUCAACCUGCAAGUUGCUCUUUAAGUAAAAAUAGCAAUACCACUUUGUAGAAAUACUCUUAAAGUACAAAAAGUAAAAGUACUCAUCAUACAGAAUGGCCCAUUUCAGAAAAAUCUAUAUUAUAUUAUUGAAUUAUAAUUAUCAAUGCAUUAAUAUGUACAUUACUUUAAUGUUGCAGCUGUUAAAGGUGGAGCUUAUUUCUAUAUAUUGCUGGGUAGCUUGUGACUUUCACCAGGGGAUCAAUAAAGUUUUAUCUUUAUCUAUUA